RNAcentral lists this small nuclear RNA (61 nucleotides) under Otolemur garnettii (small-eared galago). RNAcentral describes it as "U7 small nuclear RNA". It matches the Rfam family "U7 small nuclear RNA". From Rfam's summary of the family: Animal histone pre-mRNAs are spliced by a different mechanism than nuclear pre-mRNAs and self-splicing introns. This processing involves the U7 snRNP, which contains only one RNA species: U7. Lineage: Eukaryota; Metazoa; Chordata; Mammalia; Primates; Galagidae. The record is from Rfam by way of RNAcentral.
AAAUGUUACAGCUCUUUUAGAAUCUGUCCAGCAGGUUUUCCCAUUUUUACUAAAAACUGAU